AGUCAAGUAAUUAAGUGCAUGUGGUGGAUGCCUUGGCAGUCAGAGGCGAUGAAAGACGUGAUAGCCUGCGAAAAGCUCCGGGGAGGCGGCAAAUAUCCUUUGAUCCGGAGAUGUCUGAAUGGGGGAACCCACCUACUUUAAGGUAGGUAUUGCAACAUGAAUACAUAGUGUUGCAAGGCGAACGAGGGGAAGUGAAACAUCUCAGUACCCUUAGGAAAAGAAAUCAAUUGAGAUUCCCUCAGUAGCGGCGAGCGAACGGGGAUCAGCCCAUUAAGUUAUGUGUGUUUUAGUGGAACGCUCUGGGAAGUGCGAACGUAGAGGGUGAUAUUCCCGUACACGAAAGGGCACACAUAAUGAUGACGAGUAGGGCGAGGCACGUGAAACCUUGUCUGAAUAUGGGGGGACCAUCCUCCAAGGCUAAAUACUCCUGACUGACCGAUAGUGAACCAGUACCGUGAGGGAAAGGCGAAAAGAACCCCUGUGAGGGGAGUGAAAUAGAUCCUGAAACCGCAUGCAUACAAGCAGUGGGAGCACCUUCGUGGUGUGACUGCGUACCUUUUGUAUAAUGGGUCAGCGACUUAUAUUCAGUAGCAAGGUUAACCGUAUAGGGGAGCCGUAGAGAAAUCGAGUCUUAAUAGGGCGUUUAGUUGCUGGGUAUAGACCCGAAACCAGGCGAUCUAUCCAUGAGCAGGUUGAAGG
Molecule: ribosomal RNA, 699 nt
Filed under: Acinetobacter baumannii
Lineage: Bacteria; Pseudomonadati; Pseudomonadota; Gammaproteobacteria; Moraxellales; Moraxellaceae
Description: partial 23S ribosomal RNA
Rfam family: Bacterial large subunit ribosomal RNA
Source: RNAcentral